UCAAGAAUAUUCCUCAAUGGCCGAAAGGCUGAAGGAGCGACGCCGCGUGUGGGAUGAAGCUCUUCGGGGUGUAAACCACUUUUGCAGGGGACGAACUAAUGACGGUACUCUGCGAAUAAGAGGCUGCAAACUCUGUGCCAGCAGCAGCGGUAAUACAGAGGCCUCAAGCGUUAUCCGGAUUCACUGGGCGUAAAGCGUCCGCAGGCGGUUUGUUUAGUCGGUCGUAAAAUGUCGGGGCUCAACCCCGUCACCGCGACCGAAACGGGCAAACUAGAGACUGGGAGAGGCAGAUGGAACUACUGGUGUAGUAGUAAAAUGCGUUAAUAUCAGUAGGAACACCCAAGGCGAAGGCAUUCUGCUAGAACAGUUCUGACGCUCAGGGACGAAAGCGUGGGGAGCGAAUCGGAUUAGAUACCCCUGUAGUCC
Molecule: ribosomal RNA, 426 nt
Filed under: uncultured bacterium
Lineage: Bacteria
Description: bacterial SSU rRNA
Rfam family: Bacterial small subunit ribosomal RNA
Source: RNAcentral